This 504-nucleotide ribosomal RNA is filed under the name uncultured bacterium. Its description in RNAcentral is "partial 16S ribosomal RNA". It matches the Rfam family "Bacterial small subunit ribosomal RNA", at positions 30 to 523 of the family's 1533-position model. The record is from RNAcentral.
AUUGAACGCUGGCGGCAGGCCUAACACAUGCAAGUCGAACGGUAGCACAGAGAGCUUGCUCUUGGGUGACGAGUGGCGGACGGGUGAGUAAUGUCUGGGAAACUGCCCGAUGGAGGGGGAUAACUACUGGAAACGGUAGCUAAUACCGCAUAACGUCUUCGGACCAAAGUGGGGGACCUUCGGGCCUCACACCAUCGGAUGUGCCCAGAUGGGAUUAGCUAGUAGGUGGGGUAAAGGCUCACCUAGGCGACGAUCCCUAGCUGGUCUGAGAGGAUGACCAGCCACACUGGAACUGAGACACGGCCCAGACUCCUACGGGAGGCAGCAGUGGGGAAUAUUGCACAAUGGGCGCAAGCCUGAUGCAGCCAUGCCGCGUGUAUGAAGAAGGCCUUCGGGUUGUAAAGUACUUUCAGCGGGGAGGAAGGCGUUAAGGUUAAUAACCUUGGCGAUUGACGUUACCCGCAGAAGAAGCACCGGCUAACUCCGUGCCAGCAGCCGCGGUAA